Molecule: long non-coding RNA, 2085 nt
Filed under: Helianthus annuus (common sunflower)
Lineage: Eukaryota; Viridiplantae; Streptophyta; Magnoliopsida; Asterales; Asteraceae
Description: hypothetical non coding rna
Source: RNAcentral
UGGUAUGGAGAAUGGCGACGAUUAGAAGGGUAGGAGAGGAAGGGAUGAAGAAAUUCAUGUGUUUUGGAUGAAAAUCUUCAUCAAGCAAUGAUACAAUUCCAUUCUUGGCACCAUUUCCUCCAUUGUAAGUAUAAAAUCCAUCAUCAUACAUGUUUUUUCCUUCUUGUGGAAUACAAAUGGGUUGUGGAUGACGGUGAAUGAAAUUGGUUGGUAAUUAUGAAUGAAUCUUAGCAUUUUAUGCGAAUCUUAGUAGAAGUUGUCCUUAUAAUUGAUUAUUGAAUUGGAAUGUAUAUUAGUUUUAUGAAAUUAGCAAGUUAGAUUCUUAGAGGGUAGGAUGAUGAGUGUCGAAUUCGUGGUAAAAUCCAUAAUCAUAUUUGGCUAAAUUGUUAAAUAAAUUGAAAGAACUAGAGGUUAUGCUAUGUUUAGUGUUUAUGAAUGAUUGGUAUUUUGUUUUGGAAAGAAACAUGGUGAUUGAUACCAUGAACUAGGAAGUUAAGCAUGUGAUACUUGUACUUUGUGCUUUACAUUUGGUACACACACCAAUCAUUUGAUGAAAUGCGUAGGUGACAAUAAUAGGUGAAACUAUAUGCAAGUAAUGGAUAAAUAGGUAUAGAAUGUGAUAAUGAUGUAAUUGAUAGUAAACUAACACGAGGAGUGUGUUUUAGAUGGAGUUCACACGGAAAUUGAAUUCGUUAGUAUGAUGUAGUAGAAACAUGCACUAGGAGCUUGUACCCUAUGCUUGAAUGGUCAUGAGAACUUACUAGUAAGGGAUAAUGUUGGAAUUAUGUUGUGUUAGAUAAGCAUGGGUUAUGUUUAGGGGUGCAAAUGAGCCGAGCGGCUCGUGAGCUACUCGUGAUCGGCUAGAGAAAAAGAUUGAAACGAGCCGAGCCUUAUCGAGCCUGAGCCGAGCUUGUGCCUAAAAUAAAGCUUGUUUAUUUAUCGAGCCCGAGCUCGAGCCUUAGUGUAAACGAACUGAGCCAAGCCGAGCUUAUAUAAACUUGUUUACGAGCUGAACCUGCACCUAAAAAUAAGUUUGUUUAGUAAACGAGCUCGAGCCCGAACUUCACUUAUCGAGCUCACGAACCUAAAGGUCUAUUAUUUACAAUAUUUUAUUUAAUAUAUUAAUUAAUAGAUAGUAAUCGAUUCGAGCUCGAGCUUGAGAAAAUACCAACGAGCCAAACUUGAGCUUUGAAAACAAAGCUCGAAUCUAGCCAAGCUCGAGCUCUUAUAAGUUAAUCGAGCUCGAGCCUGGUCGAGCUCGUUUGCCAAUAGUGUCAUGAACAUGAUUACAUGAAAGAAUAUGAAUUAUGUCAAGAUCUCAACCAUGGAAGCCUAACGAGUCCAGAUGAGGUAAGAAAACAAGCACGGACAUGGCAACUCGAGGUGUGAUUCCCGACUUUAACUCCAUUUAAGUUAAUGAAAGUAUACAUAUAUAUGCAUGAGGUAUGGGAAUCAUGCAAGGAUGAGUAUAUGAAAGGAUGAAUAUAUAAUAAUGGGGCCAAGAUAUGGAAUGUAGUAAUGGAUCCAAUGUUGGGUAACUACACUUGAAUCCAAAUGGUGGGAACAAACGGGUCAUUCACAGGAAGACAAAUUAGAAAAAGAGAUUUACCUGGAUGUUGGAAUAAUGGAGUUAGUAUUGGGGUGAUAUAGGUCCUUGAAAGAACAUUUGAAAACUUUAAAUUUACGUAUCGGGAGUCGUGAGAAUUGUUAACAGGGCUUGAAAAUGGGAAAAAAACUCAAAAAUCCACAUGAGGGAUCAACAGGGGCGUCACUGACGGCUUAGCCUAGUUUUACCCGUUUUCUUCGACACUGAUCCCCGUAGCUCCUUUCCAAAGCCCUGUUAAGCUUCCAAAGUGCACCAUAAAACUAUCAAUGGGAUUUGUAAGGUGCAAGUGAGGAUGAAACUUGUAUGUAUGGAUGGAUGUAUGGGAUUUAAUUGUGUAUAUGUAAAUGGGACUUGUAUGUGUGCUUGGGUGUAUGGAAUUCAUAUGUAUGUAUGUGGAUGAGACUUGUAUUUAUGUAGGUAGUAUGUAUGCAUUUUGUUUGUACGUAAGUAGAUGAGAAUUGUAUGAAAGUAUGUUUUGG